UCGGGAAUAUUGCGCAAUGGAGGAAACUCUGACGCAGUGACGCCGCGUGCAGGAAGAAGGUUUUCGGAUUGUAAACUGCUUUAGACAGGGAAGAGAAAGGACAGUACCUGUAGAAUAAGCUCCGGCUAACUACGUGCCAGCAGCCGCGGUAAUACGUAGGGAGCGAGCGUUAUCCGGAUUUAUUGGGUGUAAAGGGUGCGUAGACGGGAAUACAAGUUAGUUGUGAAAUACCUCGGCUUAACUGAGGAACUGCAACUAAAACUAUAUUUCUUGAGUGCAGGAGAGGUAAGUGGAAUUCCUAGUGUAGCGGUGAAAUGCGUAGAUAUUAGGAGGAACACCAGUGGCGAAGGCGACUUACUGGACUGAAACUGACGUUGAGGCACGAAAGUGUGGGGAGCAAACAGG
Molecule: ribosomal RNA, 405 nt
Filed under: uncultured bacterium
Lineage: Bacteria
Also listed under: 2 other names
Description: bacterial SSU rRNA
Rfam family: Bacterial small subunit ribosomal RNA
Source: RNAcentral